RNAcentral lists this ribosomal RNA (1372 nucleotides) under uncultured bacterium. RNAcentral describes it as "bacterial SSU rRNA". It matches the Rfam family "Bacterial small subunit ribosomal RNA", at positions 28 to 1381 of the family's 1533-position model. The record is from RNAcentral.
GAUGAACGCUGGCGGCGUGCCUAAUACAUGCAAGUCGAGCGAACGGACGAGAAGCUUGCUUCUCUGAUGUUAGCGGCGGACGGGUGAGUAACACGUGGAUAACCUACCUAUAAGACUGGGAUAACUUCGGGAAACCGUAGCUAAUACCGGAUAAUAUUUUGAACCGCAUGGUUCAAAAGUGAAGGACGGUCUUGCUGUCACUUAUAGAUGGAUCCGCGCUGCAUUAGCUAGUUGGUAAGGUAACGGCUUACCAAGGCAACGAUGCAUAGCCGACCUGAGAGGGUGAUCGGCCACACUGGAACUGAGACACGGUCCAGACUCCUAAGGGAGGCAGCAGUAGGGAAUCUUCCGCAAUGGGCGAAAGCCUGACGGAGCAACGCCGCGUGAGUGAUGAAGGUCUUCGGAUCGUAAAACUCUGUUAUUAGGGAAGAACAUAUGUGUAAGUAACUGUGCACAUCUUGACGGUACCUAAUCAGAAAGCCACGGCUAACUACGUGCCAGCAGCCGCGGUAAUACGUAGGUGGCAAGCGUUAUCCGGAAUUAUUGGGCGUAAAGCGCGCGUAGGCGGUUUUUUAAGUCUGAUGUGAAAGCCCACGGCUCAACCGUGGAGGGUCAUUGGAAACUGGAAAACUUGAGUGCAGAAGAGGAAAGUGGAAUUCCAUGUGUAGCGGUGAAAUGCGCAGAGAUAUGGAGGAACACCAGUGGCGAAGGCGACUUUCUGGUCUGUAACUGACGCUGAUGUGCGAAAGCGUGGGGAUCAAACAGGAUUAGAUACCCUGGUAGUCCACGCCGUAAACGAUGAGUGCUAAGUGUUAGGGGGUUUCCGCCCCUUAGUGCUGCAGCUAACGCAUUAAGCACUCCGCCUGGGGAGUACGACCGCAAGGUUGAAACUCAAAGGAAUUGACGGGGACCCGCACAAGCGGUGGAGCAUGUGGUUUAAUUCGAAGCAACGCGAAGAACCUUACCAAAUCUUGACAUCCUUUGACAACUCUAGAGAUAGAGCCUUCCCCUUCGGGGGACAAAGUGACAGGUGGUGCAUGGUUGUCGUCAGCUCGUGUCGUGAGAUGUUGGGUUAAGUCCCGCAACGAGCGCAACCCUUAAGCUUAGUUGCCAUCAUUAAGUUGGGCACUCUAAGUUGACUGCCGGUGACAAACCGGAGGAAGGUGGGGAUGACGUCAAAUCAUCAUGCCCCUUAUGAUUUGGGCUACACACGUGCUACAAUGGACAAUACAAAGGGCAGCGAAACCGCGAGGUCAAGCAAAUCCCAUAAAGUUGUUCUCAGUUCGGAUUGUAGUCUGCAACUCGACUACAUGAAGCUGGAAUCGCUAGUAAUCGUAGAUCAGCAUGCUACGGUGAAUACGUUCCCGGGUCU